UCCUAAAUGUAAAUUAAUUGUUAGUUUACCGGAGUAUUACGGAUUAUAAAAAUUUAAAAUUCAAAGGACUUGGCGGUGUUUUAGACUUCUCAGGGGAACCUGUCUCGUAAUCGAUGAUCCACGUUGUACCUGGCCUUUAGAAUAGUGACGCAGUUUGUAUACCGUCGUCGUCAGGCAACUUUUAGAGAGGUUAGUAGUUGGCGUAGGAAAUGUGUUAAUUAGUACGUCAGAUCAAGGUGCAGCUGUAUAUAGAGGUGAGGAUGGGUUACACUUAUAAUAGUUAUAAUACGGAUGAGUUGAAUUGAAAUAUUGUUUGGAAGGAGGACUUGAAAGUAAAGAUGUGGUUAGAUAAGUGUCUUGAAUUGGGCUCUGGAACGUGU
RNAcentral lists this ribosomal RNA (380 nucleotides) under Ancilla sp. MNHN IM 2009-15513. RNAcentral's name for it is "partial 12S ribosomal RNA". Lineage: Eukaryota; Metazoa; Mollusca; Gastropoda; Neogastropoda; Olividae. The record is from RNAcentral.